GAUGAACGCUAGCGGGAGGCUUAACACAUGCAAGUCGAGGGGCAGCAUAGGGUAGCAAUACUCUGAUGGCGACCGGCAAACGGGUGAGUAACGCGUAUGCAACCUACCCUGUACAGGGGGAUAACCCGGAGAAAUUCGGACUAAUAUCCCGUAAUAAUAUCCGGAGGCAUCUUUGGAUAUUUAAAGUUCCGACGGUACGGGAUGGGCAUGCGUAACAUUAACUGGUUGGUAAGGUAACGGCUUACCAAGGCUAUGAUGUUUAGGGGUCCUGAGAGGGUGGUCCCCCACACUGGUACUGAGACACGGACCAGACUCCUACGGGAGGCAGCAGUGAGGAAUAUUGGUCAAUGGGCGCAAGCCUGAACCAGCCAUCCCGCGUGCAGGAAGACGGCCCUAUGGGUUGUAAACUGCUUUUCCAGGGAGAGAAACUUACGCACGUGUUGCGUGACUGACGGUACCCUGGGAAUAAGCAUCGGCUAACUCCGUGCCAGCAGCCGCGGUAAACGUGCGUG
Molecule: ribosomal RNA, 512 nt
Filed under: uncultured bacterium
Lineage: Bacteria
Description: bacterial SSU rRNA
Rfam family: Bacterial small subunit ribosomal RNA
Source: RNAcentral